RNAcentral lists this ribosomal RNA (253 nucleotides) under uncultured bacterium. RNAcentral's name for it is "partial 16S ribosomal RNA". It matches the Rfam family "Bacterial small subunit ribosomal RNA", at positions 524 to 776 of the family's 1533-position model. The record is from RNAcentral.
UACGAAGGGGGCUAGCGUUACUCGGAUUGACUGGGCGUAAAGGGCGCGUAGGCGGUUUGUACAGUCAGACGUGAAAUUCCUGGGCUCAACCUGGGGGCUGCGUUUGAUACGUGCAGACUUGAGUUCGGAAGAGGGUCGUGGAAUUCCCUGUGUAGAGGUGAAAUUCGUAGAUAUUGGGAAGAACACCGGUGGCGAAGGCGGCGACCUGGUCCGAUACUGACGCUGAGGCGCGAAAGCGUGGGGAGCAAACAGG